RNAcentral lists this long non-coding RNA (249 nucleotides) under Pan troglodytes (chimpanzee). Its description in RNAcentral is "long non-coding RNA NONPTRT012746". The record is from RNAcentral. Lineage: Eukaryota; Metazoa; Chordata; Mammalia; Primates; Hominidae.
CAAAGUCUUGCUCUGUUGCCCAGGCUGCAGUGCAGUGGCAUGGUCUUGGAUCCCUGCAGCUUCAACCUCCUGGGCUCAAGUGAUCCUCCCACUUCAGCCUCCUGAGUAGGUGGGACUACAGGCAUGUACCACCAUACCCGGCCAAUUGUUUUUAUUUUUAAUUUUUUUGUUGUUGUUGAGACGGGAUCUUGCUAUGUUGUCCAGGCUGGUCUCAAACUCCUGGGGUCAAGUGAUCCUCCUACCUCUGCC